RNAcentral lists this ribosomal RNA (408 nucleotides) under uncultured organism. RNAcentral describes it as "bacterial LSU rRNA". It matches the Rfam family "Bacterial large subunit ribosomal RNA", at positions 2078 to 2485 of the family's 2925-position model. The record is from RNAcentral.
GGACAGAAAGACCCUAUGAAGCUUUACUGUAGCCUGGUAUUGGGUUCGGGCUUUGACUGCGCAGGAUAGGUGGGAGACUAUGAAAUCAUCCUUGUGGGGAUGAUUGAGUCAACGGUGAGAUACCACUCUGUCAAGGCUAGAAUUCUAACCUUCAGCCGUUAUCCGGCGAAGGAACCGUAUCAGGUGGGCAGUUUGACUGGGGCGGUCGCCUCCUAAAUUGUAACGGAGGCGCGCAAAGGUUCCCUCAGGCUGGACGGAAAUCAGCCGAAGAGUGUAAAGGCAGAAGGGAGCUUGACUGCGAGACUAACAAGUCGAGCAGGGUGGAAACACGGCCUUAGUGAUCCGACGGUACCGCGUGGAAGGGCCGUCGCUCAACGGAUAAAAGUUACUCUAGGGAUAACAGGCUGA